Molecule: non-coding RNA, 127 nt
Organism: Caenorhabditis elegans
Lineage: Eukaryota; Metazoa; Nematoda; Chromadorea; Rhabditida; Rhabditidae
Source: Ensembl
GAGAGCUUGAUGAGAAAAUGAAGUGCACUGACGGUCGGCGGUGCGGAGCCAGAUAGGCUUAUAAGAGUGCGCGCGGAAAGGUGGAGUCUGUGUCUCUCUUUCCCACCGGCCCCCGGAGAAGGACUAG